This 253-nucleotide ribosomal RNA is filed under the name uncultured bacterium. RNAcentral's name for it is "partial 16S ribosomal RNA". It matches the Rfam family "Bacterial small subunit ribosomal RNA", at positions 524 to 776 of the family's 1533-position model. The record is from RNAcentral.
UACGUAGGGGGCAAGCGUUGUCCGGAAUCAUUGGGCGUAAAGCGCGUGUAGGCGGCCCGAUAAGUCGGCUGUGAAAGUCCAGGGCUCAACCCUGGGAUGCCGGUGGAUACUGUCGGGCUCGAGUCCGGAAGAGGCGAGUGGAAUUCCUGGUGUAGCGGUGAAAUGCGCAGAUAUCAGGAGGAACACCGGUGGCGAAGGCGGGUCUCUGGGCCGAUACUGACGCUGAGGAGCGAAAGCGUGGGGAGCGAACAGG